AGAUUGAACGCUGGCGGCAUGCCUAACACAUGCAAGUCGAACGGGAGUAGCAAUACUCUAGCGGCGGACGGGUGAGGAAUACGUAGGAAUUUGCCCUUAAGUGGGGGAUAACCCGGGGAAACCCGGAUUAAUACCGCAUGACCUCGAAAGAGCAAAGUGGGGGAUCACAGACCUCAC
RNAcentral lists this ribosomal RNA (177 nucleotides) under uncultured soil bacterium. RNAcentral's name for it is "partial 16S ribosomal RNA". It matches the Rfam family "Bacterial small subunit ribosomal RNA", at positions 26 to 216 of the family's 1533-position model. The record is from RNAcentral.